This 429-nucleotide ribosomal RNA is filed under the name Pseudomonadota bacterium. Its description in RNAcentral is "Proteobacteria bacterium partial 16S ribosomal RNA". It matches the Rfam family "Bacterial small subunit ribosomal RNA", at positions 355 to 776 of the family's 1533-position model. The record is from RNAcentral. Lineage: Bacteria; Pseudomonadati; Pseudomonadota.
UGGGGAAUAUUGGACAAUGGGCGAAAGGCUGAUCCAGCCAUGCCGCGUGUGUGAAGAAGGUCUUCGGAUUGUAAAGCACUUUAAGUUGGGAGGAAGGGCAGUAAGCGAAUACCUUGCUGUUUUGACGUUACCGACAGAAUAAGCACCGGCUAACUCUGUGCCAGCAGCCGCGGUAAUACAGAGGGUGCAAGCGUUAAUCGGAUUUACAGGGCGUAAAGCGCGCGUAGGUGGUUCGUUAAGUUGAAUGUGAAAGCCCCGGGCUCAACCUGGGAACUGCAUCCAAAACUGGCGAGCUAGAGUAGGGCAGAGGGUGGUGGAAUUUCCUGUGUAGCGGUGAAAUGUGUAGAUAUAGGAAGGAACACCAGUGGCGAAGGCGACCACCUGGGCUCAUACUGACACUGAGGUGCGAAAGCGUGGGGAGCAAACAGG